This 73-nucleotide transfer RNA is filed under the name Cordylochernes scorpioides. RNAcentral describes it as "tRNA-Thr". It matches the Rfam family "tRNA". Rfam says of the family: Transfer RNA (tRNA) molecules are approximately 80 nucleotides in length. Their secondary structure includes four short double-helical elements and three loops (D, anti-codon, and T loops). The record is from RNAcentral. Lineage: Eukaryota; Metazoa; Arthropoda; Arachnida; Pseudoscorpiones; Chernetidae.
UCCAGGGUAGCCUAGUGGACAUAGCAUCUGCCCAGUAAGAGGUACAGUGUGGGUUCGAUUCCCAUCCCUGGAC